AUCCAUAUGACGAGUCCUAAAUAGAGCGAAAUGCGCACCCUGGAU
RNAcentral lists this non-coding RNA (45 nucleotides) under Trichobilharzia regenti. Lineage: Eukaryota; Metazoa; Platyhelminthes; Trematoda; Strigeidida; Schistosomatidae. The record is from RNAcentral.